This is a non-coding RNA of Parelaphostrongylus tenuis, 71 nucleotides long. NCBI's taxonomy places the organism in Eukaryota, Metazoa, Nematoda, Chromadorea, Rhabditida, Metastrongylidae. The record is from the annotation of a GenBank genome assembly.
GCCUCUGUGGUGAAGUGGUAGCACACGUCCCCGGUAUGGAUGAAACGCGGGUUAAAUUCCCGUCUGAUACU